GCCGGAGUGGCGGAAUUGGCAGACGCACGGGACUUAAAAUCCCGGGUCUCUUCGGAGACGUGCCGGUUCAAGUCCGGCCUCCGGCACCA
RNAcentral lists this transfer RNA (89 nucleotides) under Peptococcaceae bacterium. RNAcentral describes it as "tRNA-Leu". It matches the Rfam family "tRNA". Rfam says of the family: Transfer RNA (tRNA) molecules are approximately 80 nucleotides in length. Their secondary structure includes four short double-helical elements and three loops (D, anti-codon, and T loops). Further hydrogen bonds mediate the characteristic L-shaped molecular structure. tRNAs have two regions of fundamental functional importance: the anti-codon, which is responsible for specific mRNA codon recognition, and the 3' end, to which the tRNAs corresponding amino acid is attached (by aminoacyl-tRNA synthetases). tRNAs cope with the degeneracy of the genetic code in two manners: having more than one tRNA (with a specific anti-codon) for a particular amino acid; and 'wobble' base-pairing, i.e. permitting non-standard base-pairing at the 3rd anti-codon position. RNAcentral also lists the same sequence under 1 other name. The record is from RNAcentral. Lineage: Bacteria; Bacillati; Bacillota; Clostridia; Eubacteriales; Peptococcaceae.